UAGAGUUUUGAACCUGGCUCAGAUUGAACGCUGGCGGCAGGCCUAACACAUGCAAGUCGAACGGUAGCACAGAGAGCUUGCUCUCGGGUGACGAGUGGCGGACGGGUGAGUAAUGUCUGGGAAACUGCCCGAUGGAGGGGGAUAACUACUGGAAACGGUAGCUAAUACCGCAUAACGUCUUCGGACCAAAGUGGGGGACCUUCGGGCCUCACACCAUCGGAUGUGCCCAGAUGGGAUUAGCUAGUAGGUGGGGUAAUGGCUCACCUAGGCGACGAUCCCUAGCUGGUCUGAGAGGAUGACCAGCCACACUGGAACUGAGACACGGUCCAGACUCCUACGGGAGGCAGCAGUGGGGAAUAUUGCACAAUGGGCGCAAGCCUGAUGCAGCCAUGCCGCGUGUAUGAAGAAGGCCUUCGGGUUGUAAAGUACUUUCAGCGGGGAGGAAGGCGAUGGGAGU
RNAcentral lists this ribosomal RNA (457 nucleotides) under Erwinia sp. AE_82. RNAcentral's name for it is "bacterial SSU rRNA". It matches the Rfam family "Bacterial small subunit ribosomal RNA", at positions 1 to 461 of the family's 1533-position model. Lineage: Bacteria; Pseudomonadati; Pseudomonadota; Gammaproteobacteria; Enterobacterales; Erwiniaceae. The record is from RNAcentral.